GGGCGAUUAGCUCAGUUGGUUCUGAGCAUCCCGAUUGCAUCGGGAGGGUCGGGAGUCCGGACCUCUCAUCGCCCA
RNAcentral lists this transfer RNA (75 nucleotides) under Lewinella sp. Its description in RNAcentral is "tRNA-Ala". The record is from RNAcentral. Lineage: Bacteria; Pseudomonadati; Bacteroidota; Saprospiria; Saprospirales; Lewinellaceae.